ACCAAGAUGAAAGCGGUCCGGCGGUUUUUCGAGGAAGGUGACAAGGUCAAGCUGACAUUGCGCUUUCGCGGCCGCGAGAUGGCGCAUAUGGAACUCGGCAUGCAGCUUCUGAACAAGGUUCGCGAGGAAGUUGCACCCAUCGCCAAAGUCGAAGCCGAACCGAAGCUCGAAGGCCGCCAGAUGAUGAUGGUGCUGGCGCCCCGCUAAGCGAUUCCGCCAAAGCAAAGGCCGCUUCGGCGGCCUUUUGUUUGUUUUUGUCUUCGCCAUGAUUUCUCCGCAAGUUGCAUCGACAAG
Molecule: unclassified non-coding RNA, 294 nt
Filed under: Mesorhizobium muleiense
Lineage: Bacteria; Pseudomonadati; Pseudomonadota; Alphaproteobacteria; Hyphomicrobiales; Phyllobacteriaceae
Description: Long range pseudoknot
Source: RNAcentral